UACAGAGGGGGCAAGCGUUGUUCGGAAUUACUGGGCGUAAAGGGCGCGUAGGCGGCCUGUUAAGUCGAACGUGAAAUCCCCGGGCUCAACCCGGGUACUGCGUCCGAUACUGGCAGGCUUGAAUCCGGGAGAGGGAUGUGGAAUUCCAGGUGUAGCGGUGAAAUGCGUAGAUAUCUGGAGGAACACCGGUGGCGAAGGCGGCAUCCUGGACCGGUAUUGACGCUGAGGCGCGAAAGCCAGGGGAGCAAACGGG
This 253-nucleotide ribosomal RNA is filed under the name uncultured bacterium. Its description in RNAcentral is "partial 16S ribosomal RNA". It matches the Rfam family "Bacterial small subunit ribosomal RNA", at positions 524 to 776 of the family's 1533-position model. The record is from RNAcentral.